UACGUAGGUGGCAAGCGUUAUCCGGAUUUAUUGGGUGUAAAGGGCGUGUAGGCGGGAGCGCAAGUCAGAUGUGAAAACUCAGGGCUCAACCCUGAGCCUGCAUUUGAAACUGUGUUUCUUGAGUGCUGGAGAGGCAAUCGGAAUUCCGUGUGUAGCGGUGAAAUGCGUAGAUAUACGGAGGAACACCAGUAGCGAAGGCGGAUUGCUGGACAGUAACUGACGCUGAGGCGCGAAAGCGUGGGGAGCAAACAGG
Molecule: ribosomal RNA, 253 nt
Filed under: uncultured bacterium
Lineage: Bacteria
Description: partial 16S ribosomal RNA
Rfam family: Bacterial small subunit ribosomal RNA
Source: RNAcentral